UUCUUCUACUCUUCUUUUCUUUCUUCACUCUUCUUUCCUUCUUCCACUCUUCUUUCCUUUCUUCUUUCCUUAUUUCUUUUCUUCUUCCACUCUUCUUUUCUUUCUUCACUCUUCUUUCCUUUCUUCUUUCCUUCUUUCACUCUUCUUUCUUUUCUUCUUUCCUUUCUUCACUCUUCUUUCCUUUAUUCUUUCCUUCUUCCAGUCUUUAUUCCUAUCUUCACUCUUCUUUCUUUUCUUCUUUCCUUCUUCCUCUCUUCUUUCCUUCUUUUACUCUUCUUUCCUUUCUUCUUUCCUUCUUUCACUCUUCUUACUUUUCUUCUUCCUUUCUUAACUUUUGCAUUUCAUGCACUGGUAUUUCCUUCAGGAAAUGCAUUUUCUAGUUCUUCUUCUACUUCUUAUUAUUCUUUUUACCGACUUCUGCGCUUAAUUCAGCUCGAACCGCUUAACUUAGAAACUCCGUUCAAACUUUGGCGUGUAGGUCUUCUAAACGACACUUAUGCUAUGUAUUUUUCAUUUGUCUAAACGUUAUACUUUUUAAGAUAUUAAAUAAAAACGAAUACAAAUUUUCCCAUUGACUUACAUUGGGCCAUUAUGACAUCAUAAUAGGGUCAUUAAACUGGCUUGCACCUGUGCUUCACUGACACCUGCGCCAAGGUUCCAAGGCUCCUCUUCUC
This is a long non-coding RNA of Clupea harengus (Atlantic herring), 674 nucleotides long. NCBI's taxonomy places the organism in Eukaryota, Metazoa, Chordata, Actinopteri, Clupeiformes, Clupeidae. The record is from Ensembl.